RNAcentral lists this long non-coding RNA (812 nucleotides) under Homo sapiens (human). RNAcentral describes it as "long non-coding RNA NONHSAT204957.1". The record is from RNAcentral. Lineage: Eukaryota; Metazoa; Chordata; Mammalia; Primates; Hominidae.
GAUUAGUGCAAACCCAGGAUGUGUCAUCAGCUUAGGAUUCUGUUAUUUACUUAAUUUGAGCCUAAUGAUAUGAAACAUCGUUGUAAUGUUGAAGUUUUCUUAUCCUUUUCAAGGUGCUUCAAUUCCCUGAGGAAAGAAGAAUAGUCAAGUAUCAUUCAAAACCUUUCAAGGCUCACAAAGAGCAUAUGGAUUCUAGAUGUCAAUACAUACAUGACUAGAACUUACCUGGAGACACACAGCCAGCAAGAUGAGCAUCUGGAGCAGAGAUAUGAAGGCUAUGGAACUUCCUCAACAGGUACUGAGAGAGGACGAAGGCUUCACGAGCGUGUUUGAAACCAAGACUUGAUAGGAAUUUUACUUUAACGGAAGAUAGCGGUGAGGGCUUGAACACUAAGGAAUUAAUGAGAGAUCAGCCCCUUUAGCGACUCAAAGCAUAUUAUAACUCCAGCUGGUCAAAAAGAGAGGAAAUAAAUAAUAUAACAGGAACAACUGGAAGAGCAAGUGCAGCAUCAGGUUGGUGCAUUUCUUCUGAUCAAAAGGUCGAAUUGCAACUGGUCUUUGAAGAGUGUGCUGGUGACAGUGUGCAACCUUUGCGGUAGCUCCUGGACUGGCCCUAGACUGCUGUCAAAUUAAACCAGCACUGUAAAGAAGAGAGCAAGUUGAAUGAAGUUGAAUGAAGGGGCAUCUUAAUUCCAAUCCUGGCUCUAAUGCUGACUGUAAGCAUGACCCCGGAUGAGUUAUUCACUCUCUCAGUCUCAGUCUCCUCAUCCACAAAGCAGGGAUCACAAUAAAUGAAUAGCACCUUUCACAGA